Molecule: ribosomal RNA, 1343 nt
Filed under: uncultured bacterium
Lineage: Bacteria
Description: 16S ribosomal RNA
Rfam family: Bacterial small subunit ribosomal RNA
Source: RNAcentral
GACGAACGCUGGCGGCGUGCUUAACACAUGCAAGUCGAACGGAAAGGCCCUGCUUUUGUGGGGUGCUCGAGUGGCGAACGGGUGAGUAACACGUGAGUAACCUGCCCUUGACUUUGGGAUAACUUCAGGAAACUGGGGCUAAUACCGGAUAGGAGCUCCUGCUGCAUGGUGGGGGUUGGAAAGUUUCGGCGGUUGGGGAUGGACUCGCGGCUUAUCAGCUUGUUGGUGGGGUAGUGGCUUACCAAGGCUUUGACGGGUAGCCGGCCUGAGAGGGUGACCGGCCACAUUGGGACUGAGAUACGGCCCAGACUCCUACGGGAGGCAGCAGUGGGGAAUAUUGCACAAUGGGCGGAAGCCUGAUGCAGCAACGCCGCGUGCGGGAUGACGGCCUUCGGGUUGUAAACCGCUUUCGCCUGUGACGAAGCGUGAGUGACGGUAAUGGGUAAAGAAGCACCGGCUAACUACGUGCCAGCAGCCGCGGUGAUACGUAGGGUGCGAGUGUUGUCCGGAUUUAUUGGGCGUAAAGGGCUCGUAGGUGGUUGAUCGCGUCGGAAGUGUAAUCUUGGGGCUUAACCCUGAGCGUGCUUUCGAUACGGGUUGACUUGAGGAAGGUAGGGGAGAAUGGAAUUCCUGGUGGAGCGGUGGAAUGCGCAGAUAUCAGGAGGAACACCAGUGGCGAAGGCGGUUCUCUGGGCCUUUCCUGACGCUGAGGAGCGAAAGCGUGGGGAGCGAACAGGCUUAGAUACCCUGGUAGUCCACGCUGUAAACGGUGGGUACUAGGUGUGGGGUCCAUUCCACGGGUUCCGUGCCGUAGCUAACGCUUUAAGUACCCCGCCUGGGGAGUACGGCCGCAAGGCUAAAACUCAAAGGAAUUGACGGGGCCCCGCACAAGCGGCGGAGCAUGCGGAUUAAUUCGAUGCAACGCGUAGAACCUUACCUGGGUUUGACAUGGAUCGGGAGCGCUCAGAGAUGGGUGUGCCUCUUUUGGGGUCGGUUCACAGGUGGUGCAUGGCUGUCGUCAGCUCGUGUCGUGAGAUGUUGGGUUAAGUCCCGCAACGAGCGCAACCCUUGUUCACUGUUGCCAGCACGUUAUGGUGGGGACUCAGUGGAGACCGCCGGGGUCAACUCGGAGGAGGGUGGGGAUGACGUCAAGUCAUCAUGCCCCUUAUGUCCAGGGCUUCACGCAUGCUACAAUGGCUGGUACAGAGAGUGGCGAGCCUGUGAGGGUGAGCGAAUCUCGGAAAGCCGGUCUCAGUUCGGAUUGGGGUCUGCAACUCGACCUCAUGAAGUCGGAGUCGCUAGUAAUCGCAGAUCAGCAACGCUGCGGUGAAUACGUUCCCGGG